GGAGACGCUGGCGGCGUGCCUAAUACAUGCAAGUCGAACGCUUCUUUUUCCACCGGAGCUUGCUCCACCGGAAAAAGAGGAGUGGCGAACGGGUGAGUAACACGUGGGUAACCUGCCCAUCAGAAGGGGAUAACACUUGGAAACAGGUGCUAAUACCGUAUAACAAUCGAAACCGCAUGGUUUUGAUUUGAAAGGCGCUUUCGGGUGUCGCUGAUGGAUGGACCCGCGGUGCAUUAGCUAGUUGGUGAGGUAACGGCUCACCAAGGCGACGAUGCAUAGCCGACCUGAGAGGGUGAUCGGCCACAUUGGGACUGAGACACGGCCCAAACUCCUACGGGAGGCAGCAGUAGGGAAUCUUCGGCAAUGGACGAAAGUCUGACCGAGCAACGCCGCGUGAGUGAAGAAGGUUUUCGGAUCGUAAAACUCUGUUGUUAGAGAAGAACAAGGAUGAGAGUAACUGUUCAUCCCUUGACGGUAUCUAACCAGAAAGCCACGGCUAACUACGUGCCAGCAGCCGCGGUAAUACGUAGGUGGCAAGCGUUGUCCGGAUUUAUUGGGCGUAAAGCGAGCGCAGGCGGUUUCUUAAGUCUGAUGUGAAAGCCCCCGGCUCAACCGGGGAGGGUCAUUGGAAACUGGGAGACUUGAGUGCAGAAGAGGAGAGUGGAAUUCCAUGUGUAGCGGUGAAAUGCGUAGAUAUAUGGAGGAACACCAGUGGCGAAGGCGGCUCUCUGGUCUGUAACUGACGCUGAGGCUCGAAAGCGUGGGGAGCAAACAGGAUUAGAUACCCUGGUAGUCCACGCCGUAAACGAUGAGUGCUAAGUGUUGGAGGGUUUCCGCCCUUCAGUGCUGCAGCUAACGCAUUAAGCACUCCGCCUGGGGAGUACGACCGCAAGGUUGAAACUCAAAGGAAUUGACGGGGGCCCGCACAAGCGGUGGAGCAUGUGGUUUAAUUCGAAGCAACGCGAAGAACCUUACCAGGUCUUGACAUCCUUUGACCAC
RNAcentral lists this ribosomal RNA (999 nucleotides) under Enterococcus hirae. RNAcentral describes it as "bacterial SSU rRNA". It matches the Rfam family "Bacterial small subunit ribosomal RNA", at positions 26 to 998 of the family's 1533-position model. The record is from RNAcentral. Lineage: Bacteria; Bacillati; Bacillota; Bacilli; Lactobacillales; Enterococcaceae.